Long non-coding RNA from Pseudopodoces humilis (Tibetan ground-tit), 605 nucleotides. RefSeq lists it as uncharacterized. The record is from RefSeq and is a predicted model, not a curated record. Lineage: Eukaryota; Metazoa; Chordata; Aves; Passeriformes; Paridae.
UCUGCCUUCAAGUCAUGAAAGAGACUUUCUUUUUAGGAUCUGUACAUUAAGACAUCCAAAGGGGUCUGAAGGACAAAGAUGGACACACAGUCUCGUACCUAUCAGCAGAUGCCCAUUGUGAACAGGAUGAUACUGUGUUCAGAGGUCAAACAAAUCCUCUAGUUAGAGUCCAUGAGCAUGUUACCCUCUAAAACCCUGUUCAGUGAAUGCAAAUGAAGCUUUGAGCAAGUCUGAUGGCCAUUUUGUCUGUGAGCUCUGGGACGUGAUGCUGGGCACUGGAAAAGCAGAAGGGUGGCCUUUGCCAAUGGGAACAGCACCCUCGAGUGGGAAAACGAAGUAACUUCCAGUCAGCAGGACCUGAGGGAAAGACAUUCGUUUUUGGGCACGGAGCUGCUUCGGUAGAGAGAAGGGAAUUUUUCGCCAUCACCCAGAUGGAGCUGCUGCUUCUUCUCCUUCUUCCCUCUUCGUUGAUGGCCUCGCACCCCCUGUCCUGCCGGGACGUGUGGCAGUGCCAGCCACCACCAUGGAGCUUCUGAGACACCUCAGCCACUGGCCCAGGAUCUCAGCUCAUCCCUGCUGUUCCAGCUGAGUGUUCCUCAGAGUCC